RNAcentral lists this ribosomal RNA (457 nucleotides) under uncultured bacterium. RNAcentral describes it as "bacterial SSU rRNA". It matches the Rfam family "Bacterial small subunit ribosomal RNA", at positions 340 to 786 of the family's 1533-position model. The record is from RNAcentral.
UACGGAAGGCAGCAGUGGGGAAGUAUUGCACAAUGGGCGCAAGCCUGAUGCAGCCAUGCCGCGUGUAUGAAGAAGGCCUUCGGGUUGUAAAGUACUUUCUAGUCGUGAGGAAGGUGUUAAGGUUAAUAACCUUAGCAAUUGACGUUAGCGACAGAAGAAGCACCGGCUAACUCCGUGCCAGCAGCCGCGGUAAUACGGAGGGUGCGAGCGUUAAUCGGAAUUACUGGGCGUAAAGGGCACGCAGGCGGUUAAUUAAGUUGGAUGUGAAAUCCCCGGGCUUAACCUGGGAAUGGCAUUCAAGACUGGUUAGCUAGAGUCUUGUAGAGGGGGUAGAAUUCCAUGUGUAGCGGUGAAAUGCGUAGAGAUGUGGAGGAAUACCGGUGGCGAAGGCGGCCCCCUGGACAAAAGACUGACGCUCAUGUGCGAAAGCGUGGGGAGCAAACAGGGAUUAGAUACC